UGUGACAUACCUAUUUGUUGCCUCGGCGGUGCCUGUUCCGACAGCCCGCCAGAGGACCCCAAACCCUGAUUACAUUUAAGAAGUCUUCUGAGUAAACCGAUUAAAUAAAUCAAAACUUUCAACAACGGAUCUCUUGGUUCUGGCAUCGAUGAAGAACGCAGCGAAAUGCGAUAAGUAAUGUGAAUUGCAGAAUUCAGUGAAUCAUCGAAUCUUUGAACGCACAUUGCGCCCGCUAGUAUUCUGGCGGGCAUGCCUGUCCGAGCGUCAUUUCAACCCUCAAGCCCCCGGGCUUGGUGUUGGGGAUCGGCGAGCCUCCGCGCCCGCCGUCCCCUAAAUCUAGUGGCGGUCUCGCUGUAGCUUCCUCUGCGUAGUAGCACACCUCGCACUGGGAAACAGCGCGGCCACGCCGUUAAACCCCCAACUUCUGAACGUUUGACCUCGGAUCAGGUAGGAAUACCCGCUGAACUUAAGCAUAUCAAUAAGCGGAG
RNAcentral lists this ribosomal RNA (488 nucleotides) under Ilyonectria sp. Its description in RNAcentral is "eukaryotic LSU rRNA". The stretch from base 114 to 267 matches the Rfam family "5.8S ribosomal RNA". Lineage: Eukaryota; Fungi; Ascomycota; Sordariomycetes; Hypocreales; Nectriaceae. The record is from RNAcentral.